CAGUCGCCGCGGUAAUACGAAGGGGGCCAGCGUUGCUCGGAAUUACUGGGCGUAAAGGGAGCGUAGGCGGAUCGUUAAGUUGGGGGUGAGAGCCCGGGGCUCAACCUCGGAACUGCCUUCAAUACUGGCGAUCUUGAGUAUGAGAGAGGUGUGUGGAACUCCGAGUGUAGAGGUGAAAUUCGUAGAUAUUCGGAAGAACACCAGUGGCGAAGGCGACACACUGGCUCAUUACUGACGCUGAGGCUCGAAAGCGUGGGGAGCAAACAGGAUUAGAUACCCCCGUAGUCCCUGUCUCUUAUAC
RNAcentral lists this ribosomal RNA (301 nucleotides) under uncultured bacterium. Its description in RNAcentral is "partial 16S ribosomal RNA". It matches the Rfam family "Bacterial small subunit ribosomal RNA", at positions 509 to 807 of the family's 1533-position model. The record is from RNAcentral.